Molecule: long non-coding RNA, 6219 nt
Filed under: Macaca fascicularis (crab-eating macaque)
Lineage: Eukaryota; Metazoa; Chordata; Mammalia; Primates; Cercopithecidae
Description: lncRNA (ENSMFAG00000049752.1)
Source: RNAcentral
GAAAAAUUUCUGUUGCCUAGUGACAACCUGAUGAUUCUGAUGCUACUAUGUGUAUGUCUUAGUUUUAACUAAAAAAAUUAAAAAGUUUUAAAAAAGAAAAAAUUUUAAAAUAGAUAAGGAUAUAAAGAAAAUAUUUUUAUACAACUAUACAAUGUGUGCUGUAGGCCAUUAUUAUAGAAAGAGUCAAAAAGUUUAAACAUUUAAAUGUUUAUAAAAUAAAAAUGUUAUAGUAAGUUAAGGUUAACUUGUUUUUGAAGAAAGAAAAAUAUUUUAAAAUAAAGGUAGUGUAACCUAAGUGUGCAAUGUUUACACCUACAGUAGUGUACAGUAAUGUUUUAGGCCUUCACAUUCACUCACUGUUCACACAUAGACUCACCCAGGACAACUUCCAGCCCUGCAAGCUUCAUUCAUGGUAAGUGGCCUAUAUACCACAUUUUUACUCUCCCUUUACUACCUUUUGAUAUGUUUAAAUACACAGAUACUUACCAUUGUUUUACAGUUGCCUACAUUAUUCAGUACAAUAAUGUGCUGUACAAGUUUGUAGCCUAGGAGCAGUAGGCUAUAGCAUAUAGCCUAGGUGUAUAAUAGGCUUAUACCAUCCAUGUUUGUUUAAGUGUGCUCUGUGAUGUUCACACAAUGAUGUAAUUACCUAACAACUCAUUCUCAGAGUAUGUCCCUGUUGUUAAGCCAUGCAUAAUUGUAUUUAAAGUGAGUUUUUUGGGAGUCCCAGGUGAGAGGAUUGCUUGAGGCUGGGAGUUUGAGACCUGGCCAACAUGGUAAAACCCCAUCUUUACCAAAAAUAUAAAAAAUUAGCUGGUUGUGGUGGCGCAUGCCUGUAAUCCCAGCUACUCAGGAGGCUGAGGCAAGAAAAUCGCUUGAAUCUGGGAGGUGGAGGUUGCAGUGAACCAAAAUUGGGCCACUGCCCUCCAUCCUGGGGUGACAGAGUGAGACUCCAUCUCAAAAAAAAAAAAAAAAGAGACAGGGUCUCACUAUAUUGGCCAGGCUGGCCUGAAACUCCUGACCUCAACCAUUUCUCCUACUGCAGCCUCCCUAAAUGUUGAGAUUACAAGUGUGAGCCAUCAUGCCUGGCCAAUAAGUAGGCAUUAUUAUUGUCCUCAUUAUUUAGAGAUAAGUAGGGACCUAUAUUGAUUGCUCAAAGUUACACAGUAACUAGCAGAAUUAGGACUGGAACCUAGGUAUGUCUGAAUACAAUCUUGCUAUUGUCUACUAUGUAUAUUGUCUGAAAGUUAUUGCCACAUGCUAUUUGUUGAAUGAAUAAAUUAACAGGAAAAGAUCACAGGUGAUUCUGAAAUUUCUACCUUGUGGGAACUGAGAAUGAUCAAGGCCUUUUUCAGAAUUUCAUUGAUGCUAGAUACAUUUAUAUUUGUAGGUCCUAUCCCAUAUUAAAGUGUGUCUGUAUCCCACAUCAAGUAUUAUUUUUUUUCUGCUGAAAAAGAUAUUGAAAGGAUUUUUAAAAAUUUCUUUAGAAACCAUUUGGCUACAUGCACUCAAGUUAUUAUAGGAUUUGAUUUCAUGGCAGUCGCAGUGCAUGGGUGGAAUGUUUCCAAAGUGAGAAACUUGCACUUACGAAUUAUUUUCAAAUGUAAUAAAAUGUUUAUAAAUACCAGUGUAUUAGUUCAGUACGGCCUAAGCUGCUAUAACAAAGAGACUUCUUAGUACAGUGAGAGUAAGGGCUAGUAGGCAGGAUUCUACCUCAGCAUCCACUCCAGCUCUUGCCUUAAGGUCUGCAUCACAGCCAGGGACAAAGCAGCCACAUUCACAAUGACAAAGAGCAUCAUUUGCACAGACUGCAGUGCUCAUGUGCCCACUGGAGUUGUCCAUAGUAGUAACUCUCACAAGUGUGUAGGGAGAAAGAUGAAGAAGAGCUCAUCCCCUACUGCACAACCAAAAGUGGCAGGUAUCACUUAUACUCACUUCCCAUGGUCAGAACUUAGUCACAUGACCACAUCUAGCUUCAAAAGAGGCUGGAAGUGUAGUCUUUUACUGAGUGACCCUUGCACCUACCUAAAACCUAGUUCUACUUAUAAAGGAAGAAGGGGAUAUAUAGUAGUCAUUAUCAUAAUUAAAUUGCAUAAACAAGUAAUGAAGUUGGUAUAAAUUUAUGUUGGUAGACAUUUAAUUUUUAAAAGUUUAUUGCUUUUGACUUUAUGGUUUUUUGUAUUUUGGUUGUUAAAAAAAAAAGUGGGAGGGUUGUUCUUAAACUUUUUUUUUUAGGCCCUUGAAAAGUUUGUCAGCUCCAAGUGCUGUGCCUAAUGGAUACACAAUCUCUGUGGAUCAUGAGGCCACUAAUCAGAGAAGGAAUGCAGGGUGGCUGUGAUUGCUCUCUGCUUGGUCCCCCUUAUAGGUAGGAAGGCAGCCCCUAUGAACUGGGUAGGCUAGAUUCAGUAUGCAAUUUGUGGGGCUAAGGGAGUGUAGACACUCGAACAAAUAUUAACUAAUCCUUACGUAGCUGGGGUUAUAGUCCAUGGGGCUGAGGGUGGGACAGGAAGCAGGGAGAGGCAGGGAGAAGGGAAUAACAACUAGAAUGAGACUCAGUGCCAAGAAAUUGGUAAGGAAGACAAAAUAACAUGAACAAACAUGCACAAUGAUAGGUUUCAGAGCAGAUUAUGAAAGUCAUUGUGAGUCAUCGGUGGUAGUGGUGGUGUUUAAAAGAAACAGUGUCUAGAUAACGCUGGGCUCUGAAGGAAAAAGAGGUUGGAUUACACAAGGUCCUGCCUCAGGACAUCUACAGUUUAUAAAUAAAUAUGCCCAAAAUGGGGAAAGUAACUCUAAUGACCUGUUUCCUGUAGAAGAUGCUCCAGCCCAAGAACUGUCCUGGUAUAAAGUAGGAGCCAUUAGUAGGCAGGCCGGGAAUCUAGGUUCAUGUUUGGCCUCUAUCACUAUUUAUUUGAGAAUGUGAGCUCCUUUGAAGUAGGUAAUGCAUAGUUUCAUCUGUGGAUCCUCACCUAGCCUAGUGCCUGGCACUUACUAAGUUCUUAGUAAAUUCUUACAGAAUCAAUGAACAAUUUGUUUAAUAACUUGCUGCGUAUCCUUGAACUGAGACCUUUUACCAGGGGUCUUAAACCUAAAAGGAAACUGUGGGUCAGGGUGGCCUCCAGGUCCCUAGUGACCUCAAAUUUUCAGGAUAUGAGGAUUGAUAUUUGGCUACUGUCACACUAAGAAGUGCACUUCAUAGCAUGCAAAAUCAAAUCUGAACUCAACCCACACAUCUCAGCUCAAAGACUGCUUCCGCCACAAUGCCUCCCCUACCCCUUCUCUCAACAAAUUGUGCCUCUGCUGACACUCUUCUACCUUGGUUAUUCUCAGUUGAGUUCAUUACCUUUCCUUACCCCCUCAGGCCUGUGACCUGAGAACACACAGUAAAAGCUAACACUUAGGUAAAAUUUACUGUGUGUCAGGUGCUCUAAAGGGCUUAAAAUCAUCAGUGCAUUUAAUAUCUUGGUGACCCAGAAAGUAGGUGCUAUGAUUAUCCUCAUUUCAGAGAUGAGAAAACUGAGGUACAGAGUAAGUAACUUUCUUACCGUUAGGCUGCUAGUGAGUGGCAGGGACAAGAUUCAAAUCUGGGUAGCAAUCUCCAGAGUCCAUAACCAGUUCCCUGUCUUGUUCAUCUUUAAAUACCCCAUAAUAAACAUCCCAUGGUCAGCACAUAGUAAGUGUGCAGUAAAUGUUUGCCAAAUAAAUGAAUAAACAAAUGCAGUAAACUAGGAAGCAAGGUAUCAGAAGGGCAUGGAGUUCCCCCAAAUACCCAUCUGCCUGUUGGGUGUCUUAACCUUUCCCCAACAUAUUGAGUUAGUUUGUUGGUCCAUCCAUCCACUCACUUGUCCAUCCAUCCAUUCAAUGACUAGUUACUGUCCUAACCACCUCCCCACCACCCCACAUUGGGACCAGGGAUACAAAACUGAAUUGGCACAGACAGAUGGACUUAUUCACAGACAAUGGCAGUACAGCAUCACAUGAGCUACACAGAAGACAGAGCCACUAACUCUGCCCAGGCAGGGUCAGGGAACACUUUUUAGUCUAUGGGACAGAGAUUCAACCUGGAUUUUUUAAAAUCUGUCUCCAGGUCCCUGGUGGGCCAGGGUCCUCCCUGACCCCAGCCCAUAUAGCUGGAGACAGAAUAGCCUGUCCUCCCAGCUGCUGGCUGCAAAUUUGCCUUGGGGAGUCCAUAGCUCUGUCCAUGGUCUGAAUACUGGUGCUCUUGCCAGCUGCCAUGCCCCUAGAUUAAGCCAUAUGUUUUGGAUCCUGGUUCUGAGUGUUGACCCUGAGCCUUUAGUGCCAGGCUCACAGCCAAGCAUAGGCCACUUGCCAGAUCCUUUCAGGUCUCUCCCUUUUAGCUGGGGGUGCAGGGGGUGGGGUGAGGGUGGGAGGACAUAUGGCAUAUCCCUAGGCAUGUGCUAAGAUACAGACCUGGGAUCUGGUGAUUGCCAGUUUCAUUGACCCCUUCCUCAGCCUCUAAGGAAAUUCAGGCCAGACUAAGAAAGGACUCAGGCUGGAGCAGGUCCCUGAGGGCUCAACCACACUUGUAUAUAUUCUGCCUGUCAGAGCUGGCCUGGCCCCAGAUACCAUCUAGGUCCCUGCCUAUCCUGAGGCUCUGGAAUGGGCAUACAGUGAAAGAGACAGACCUGGACUUCAGGGCUCCUGAUCCCAGUCUGACAUUUGUUCCACUACAAAAAGGGGGUCUGGAAUUCAUUUUCAGUAAUGAAGGCUUUCUCAAUGAAAUUUUAACCAUUAUAUAAAGGAGAACGGCUCGCCUGAAGUAGAGUUAGGGCAUCCAAAAGAUCACUGUCUUGGCCUCUGCCUCCCUUUCUCAGCCUUUAAGUCACUUCUAAUAAACCUAUCUCAUUUUUUACCAUUAGAUCUCAACAGUGGAAGUUGGUCCAGUGAGGUCCUAAGCCUUUGCGGAAAUGGCAGCUACUUCCCUCCGGCCUGUUUCACCCAUUUCGUUCACCUUCCUCACUAGAACCAGAGACCUUUCAAAAACCUAGGUCUGUCUUUGCUACCCUCCAGUUUAAAAACAUCCAUUUCGCAGGACUUGGUGUCUCAUUCCUUUAAUCCCAGUGCUUUGAGAGGCUAAGAUGGGAGGAUUGCUUGAAGCUAGGAUUUCGAGACCAGCCUGGGUGGCAUAGGGAGACCCCGUCUCUACAAAAUUUUUCUUUUUAAUUAGCCAGGUGUGGUGGUGUGUGCCUGUAGUUCCAGCUACUUGGGAGGCUGAAGUGAGAAGAUCACUUAAACCCAGAAAUUUGAGGCUGCAGUGAGCCAUCACCACAUCACUGCACUCUAGCCUGAGUGACAGAGCAAGACCCUAUCUCAAACACCAGAAAUAAACAAAUUCAUUUGUCCAACAAUAUUUACAUAAGGAGGAUUAUAUUCAUUGCACUUCUAGCUCCUUUGAUUGUGGCAGGAACGGAAGUAGGAGCUAGAAGUGCAAUGAAUAUGACAGUCCUUGCCUGUUUGUGGUGGUAGGGGAGCCAAAAAAUCUGGUGACAAUAAAAUAAAGUACUAAACAGAGUCUGGUGAUAGAGCCUAAAACAGGAGAGUGGUCUGAGGAGGCUGAAGGACAAGCCAGUGCCAUCCAGGAGAAAACUGUUCAGCCAGAGAUAAGAGCCUGUGUUAAGGUUUAGGGUGGCAGCUUUAGGAAAACAGAAGGUUCAGUGAUGGUGCUGUGAAAUGAGACCAGAGAGAUACACAGAGGCCAGGCCAUGGAAAACCCUAAAGAUCACUUCCAGGUUGUUGGUCUGCAUCUUAAAGAGCAAAGGGAAUACGAUUGAAUGGUUUUAAAUGAGAUAGUGACAAAAUGCCGUUUUUGUUUUAAGAUCAAGCUGGUUAUGUGAAGAACAGGCUGGAGGAAGGCAAGAGUAAAGGCAGAGAGGCCUAUUAAUAAGACAUUGAUGGCUGGGCAUGGUGGCUCAUGUAUGUAUAAUCCCAGCACUUUGGGAGGUGGAGGCUGGAGGAUAGCCUGAGCCCAAGAGUUCGAGACCAGCCUGGGCAACAUAGUGGAACCCCAUCUGUACAAAAAAUAAAGGUAAAAAAAUAGCCAGGUGUGAUGGUGCAUGCCUGUGGUCCCAGCUACUUGGGAAGCUGAGGCAAGAGGAUCUAUUGAGUCCAAGAGGUUGAGGCUGCAGUGAAAUGUGUUCAUACCACCGAACUGUAGCCUGGGACAACAUAACAAGACCUUGUCUCAAAAAAAAAAAAAAAAAA